GUGUGCGCAAGAGAGAAUGAGGGCGCCUUCCCCAGGCGCCUCUCAAUAUGAAGCUCUGACUGUUGAGCCCACAGAGCUGAAGGCAGUGCUAGCAAGAGGCUUAGACGUUUUUACACCACUGCCGCCGCCACCGCCACCACCACCACCGCCACCACCACCGCCACCACCGCCACCACCGCCACCACCGCCAGGCUGCCGGCGCCCAGAGAGCUUUUGGGCUUGUCUGUUAAGAACCACACCAAAUCAAGAGAGGUCAGAAUCAGAUUUGGGGUCUUCCCCUCCCCCAACCCAGAGUGAGAAGGCUGGAAGGAGAGACAGUGAGGAUGGGAUGGAGGGGCAUCCUGCCCUUGUCAACAUGCCGAGGCCAGUGGACGGAGGGCGCAGCCCGUCAUAAGGAAGUGACGACGACGAAGUAGUGCCGGGGAAGGGGAAUCACAGCAUGGAACGUAUGGGGUGUGGGGUCAUCGGGAUUAGUGUUCAAGCCGGAAAGAUCCGUUUUGCCCUGCGCCGAACCCAGAGCCUCCCCUCUGCACUUCUCGUUUACAUAAGAAAUAGGAAGGAUAAUUUCAGAGCCCCUCUUGCUUAUCAUCAAAAGGUUGGGGAAAUCAAUUCAAGAAAUUGAGCCUGUGACCUCAAAGCUUCUCCUACGAUUAAUCCCAGUCCGAUGGGACGAUAUUUGGUAGGAAAUGUGAUCCGGGAACCAGCCCCACUCCUACUGUAAAAAUAAUGCAGAUACAGGGAAUGUGCUGACCUAAGGAGCCCUCGAACACAGUUAAAACGGUGGCUGAUGACACUCUAACAAGCGUGUGAGCGCCGGCCGGUUUCCCAUCCCUGGAAAGCAGGAAGAUGCUGCCUGGUUGAAGGCAACCGCUGUCAGAUGUCACUGGCCUUUGAAAGGAAGGGGUGUAAGGAGCUGCUCCUCGCGUCUGCACCCCUAGAGGUGUCUGCUCAUGCCCCUCAGUGCAUGGGGUGUGGACUCAGCAAGAUGGCGGGAGGGCGGGGAGGAGGGAGGGCAGGAGGGAACAUGCUUGGCCUUCCCUGCCUCCCAGAGGCCUGAGACCCACUGGGUGGAGGCCUCAGGGUCUACCGGAUCCCCCACGGGGGGGGGGGGGGGGAAGGAACUCUAGGCUAGGCGUGCGAGGGCGGCGCCCCUCACCUUCGGUUUGGAAAGGUUUCUUUUCUCCUCUGGGAUAGACAGAAACACACUGUGGGUUCCGCUCCCAUCCCAGAAACCGAGAUAAGUAAUUAAGCCUCUCAGAAUUUUAAACCACCUUAGCCUGCAGAUCAAAACAUGCUUAAAAAACUAAGAUGUCCAUGCAUUUUAAAAAAAUGGGAGAAGGGAGGGGUGGGGAUGGGGGGCGGGGCAUAAGCAAAAGUGAGAGAGGACAAGGACAAAGGGGAGGGAGGAGGGGGAAGAGAAAAGGGGACACAGGAAACAAGGGAGUGAUGUCAAGCAGCAUUCCAUGCUAUAUUAGGGCAGAGUAAAAAGAUGGGAAAGCAACUUGGUGGGCUCAAAACAGAAUCUUGUUAAAAUGUCCUCAAAUGUCAAAUAAAAUUAGAAACCCUG
Hyaena hyaena (striped hyena) is the source of this 1567-nucleotide long non-coding RNA. RefSeq lists it as uncharacterized. Lineage: Eukaryota; Metazoa; Chordata; Mammalia; Carnivora; Hyaenidae. The record is from RefSeq and is a predicted model, not a curated record. The transcript is spliced from 2 exons.